UUUAUGGAGAGUUUGAUCCUGGCUCAGAGUGAACGCUGGCGGCGUGCCUAAUACAUGCAAGUCGAACGAUGAAGCUUCUAGCUUGCUAGAAUGCUGAUUAGUGGCGCACGGGUGAGUAAUGCAUAGGUCAUGUGCCUCUUAGUUUGGGAUAGCCAUUGGAAACGAUGAUUAAUACCAGAUACUCCCUACGGGGGAAAGAUUUAUCGCUAAGAGAUCAGCCUAUGUCCUAUCAGCUUGUUGGUAAGGUAAUGGCUUACCAAGGCUAUGACGGGUAUCCGGCCUGAGAGGGUGAACGGACACACUGGAACUGAGACACGGUCCAGACUCCUACGGGAGGCAGCAGUAGGGAAUAUUGCUCAAUGGGGGAAACCCUGAAGCAGCAACGCCGCGUGGAGGAUGAAGGUUUUAGGAUUGUAAACUCCUUUUGUUAGAGAAGAUAAUGACGGUAUCUAACGAAUAAGCACCGGCUAACUCCGUGCCAGCAGCCGCGGUAAUACGGAGGGUGCAAGCGUUACUCGGAAUCACUGGGCGUAAAGAGCGCGUAGGCGGGAUAGUCAGUCAGGUGUGAAAUCCUAUGGCUUAACCAUAGAACUGCAUUUGAAACUACUAUUCUAGAGUGUGGGAGAGGUAGGUGGAAUUCUUGGUGUAGGGGUAAAAUCCGUAGAGAUCAAGAGGAAUACUCAUUGCGAAGGCGACCUGCUGGAACAUUACUGACGCUGAUUGCGCGAAAGCGUGGGGAGCAAACAGGAUUAGAUACCCUGGUAGUCCACGCCCUAAACGAUGGAUGCUAGUUGUUGGAGGGCUUAGUCUCUCCAGUAAUGCAGCUAACGCAUUAAGCAUCCCGCCUGGGGAGUACGGUCGCAAGAUUAAAACUCAAAGGAAUAGACGGGGACCCGCACAAGCGGUGGAGCAUGUGGUUUAAUUCGAAGAUACACGAAGAACCUUACCUAGGCUUGACAUUGAGAGAAUCCGCUAGAAAUAGUGGAGUGUCUGGCUUGCUAGACCUUGAAAACAGGUGCUGCACGGCUGUCGUCAGCUCGUGUCGUGAGAUGUUGGGUUAAGUCCCGCAACGAGCGCAACCCCCUUUCUUAGUUGCUAACAGGUCAUGCUGAGAACUCUAAGGAUACUGCCUCCGUAAGGAGGAGGAAGGUGGGGACGACGUCAAGUCAUCAUGGCCCUUACGCCUAGGGCUACACACGUGCUACAAUGGGGUGCACAAAGAGAAGCAAUACUGCGAAGUGGAGCCAAUCUUCAAAACACCUCUCAGUUCGGAUUGCAGGCUGCAACUCGCCUGCAUGAAGCUGGAAUCGCUAGUAAUCGCAAAUCAGCCAUGUUGCGGUGAAUACGUUCCCGGGUCUUGUACUCACCGCCCGUCACACCAUGGGAGUUGUGUUUGCCUUAAGUCAGGAUGCUAAACUAGCUACUGCCCACGGCACACACAGCGACUGGGGUGAAGUCGUAACAAGGUAACCGUAGGUGAACCUGCGGUUGGAUCACCUCCUUU
Molecule: ribosomal RNA, 1504 nt
Filed under: Helicobacter pylori
Lineage: Bacteria; Pseudomonadati; Campylobacterota; Epsilonproteobacteria; Campylobacterales; Helicobacteraceae
Description: bacterial SSU rRNA
Rfam family: Bacterial small subunit ribosomal RNA
Source: RNAcentral